UCAAGCUAGUAAGGGCGUGUGGGGGAUGUCUGGGCACUAGAAGGCGAUAAAGGGCGUGGAAGACUGCGAAAAGCCUGGUGGAUGUGUCAAACAACAAUUGAUACCAGGAUACCCGAUGCGAACGCAGGGAACUGAAACAUCUCAUUACCUGUAGGAAAAGAAAGCAAACGCGACUUCCUCAGUAGCGGCGAGCGAACGGGAAUCAGCCCAAACCAUUGAGACUCGUCUCAGUGGGGUUGUAGGACCGCUAUCACGAUCAUCAGUAGUCUAAUUGAACGAUGUGGAAUCAUCGGCCAUAGAGGGUGAAAGCCCCGUAAAUGACAGGCGAAAGCGAUCAGGCGGCACCUGAGUAGGACGGAGCACGUGAAACUCCGUCUGAAUCUGCGGGGACCAUCCCGCAAGGCUAAGUACUCUCUAGUGACCGAUAGUGAACAAGUAGCGCGAGCGAAAGAUGGAAAGAACCCCGAAAGGGUAGGUAUUGAACCUGAAACCACAUGCCUACAAGCGGUCAGAGGGCUAUGUCGAGCAAUCGAAAUGCCUGAUGGCGUGCCUUUUGCAUAAUGAUCCGGCGACUUAUCGUAUCUGGCAAGGUUAAGUGGCUCUGCCACGCAGCCGUAGGGAAACCAAGUCUUAACUGGGCGUCCAGUCAGGUGCGGUAGACGCGAAACCACGUGAUCUACUCAUGGCCAGGAUGAAGUGUGGGUAAUACUACAUGGAGGUCCGAACUCACUAGUGUUGAAAAACUAGGGGAUGAGCUGUGAGGAGGAUUGAAAGUAUCAUCAAACGUGGAGAUAGCUCGUUCUCUCCGAAAUAACUUUAGGGUUAGCGUUCGGGUAGUUGAUCAUGGGGGUAGAGCGACUGAAUUCGAUAGGAGGCCUACCCGGCUAUCCUUCGAAACCAAACUCCGAAUACCAUGAUACCCAGCCCGGGCAGCUAGACUGCGAGGGAUAAGCUUCGUAGUCGAGAGGGGAACAACCCAGAUCGCCCGCUAAGGUCCCAGAAUUGUGCUCAGUGCGAAAGGAAGUUGGAUUCCAGGGACAGCCAGGAUGUUGGCUUAGAAGCAGCCACCAUUUAAAAAGUGCGUAAUAGCUUACUGGUCGAGGAGUCCUGCGCCGAUAAUGAACGGGACUAAGCACAAUACCGAAGCGGCGGGUCCGUAAGGACGGUAGGAGAGCGUUGCAUUCCGGGGUGAAGGUGGACGGAUAACGAUCACUGGACCGAAUGCAAGUGACUAUGCCGGAACGAGUAACGAUAAAACGGGUGAGAAUCCCGUUCGCCGAAAACCUAAGGUUUCCUGGGGAAGGUAAAUCCGCCCAGGGUUAGUCGGACCCUAAGUCGAGGCCGAAAGGCGUAGACGAUGGACAUACGGUUAAUAUUCCGUGACCGCGUAUCAGGUUGAAGGAAUGGGGACGCUGGCUUGCGAAUCGGUAGGUCUGAUAGACGACCUCAGGGCGCUUAUGAUCCCAAUACGAUUCAACGGACAGCCAAGAAAAGCCAUCUCCGGACGAAAUACGUGCCCGUACUAAAACUGACACAGGUAGGUAGGAUGAGUAUUCUAAGGCGCUCGAGAGAACUCUGGUGAAGGAACUCUGCAAAUUGGCCCCGUAACUUCGGGAUAAGGGGCGCCUCCUCCUUCGGGAGAGGCCGCAGUGAAAAGGUUCUAGCGACUGUUUACUAAAAACACAGGACUCUGCGAACUCGUAAGAGGAUGUAUAGAGUCUGACGCCUGCCCGGUGCCGGUAAGUUAAGGAAGAGGGUUAGCGAAAGCGAAGCUCGCAACCGAAGCUCCGGUAAACGGCGGCCGUAACUAUGACGGUCCUAAGGUAGCGAAGUUCCUUGUCGGGUAAGUUCCGACCUGCAUGAAUGGCGUAACGACUGGAACACUGUCUCCACCAGAGACUCGGUGAAACUGUAGUUGUCGUGAAGAUGCGACAUACCCGUAGUUAGACGGAAAGACCCCGUGAACCUUAACUGUAGGAUAGUAUUGGGUUUAGACCCAACAUGCGUAGUGUAGCUGGGAGACUGUGAUCGGGAUAUCUCGGUAUACCGUAAGUCGUCGAUGAAACACCAGCCUUGUUGUGUUUGAAUUCUAACUCGUACUCACAUACGUGGACAGUGCUAUCUGGGCAGUUUGAUUGGGGCGAUCUCCUCCUAAAGAGUAACGGAGGAGCCCAAAGGUAUCCUCAGCCCGGUUGGCAAUCGGGCAUCGAGCGUAAAGGUACAAGGAUGCUUGACUGCGAGCGUGAUAGCGCGAGCAGGGACGAAAGUCGGGCUUAAUGAUCCGGUGGUUCCGUAUGGAAGGGCCAUCGCUCAACAGAUAAAAGGUACUCCGGGGAUAACAGGCUUAUCUCCUCUGAGCGUUCAUAGCGGCGAGGAGGUUUGGCACCUCGAUGUCGGCUCAUCGCAUCCUGGGGGUGAAGAAGCUCCCAAGGGUUUGGCUGUUCGCCAAUGAAAGCGGUACGUGAGCUGGGUUUAGACCGUCGUGAGACAGGUCGGUCCCUAUCUGCUACGGGCGUAGGAAACUUGAGAGGCUUUCUCCCUAGUACGAGAGGACUGGGAGGGACGCACCGCUGGUGGUCCAGUUAUGGCGCUAGCCGUACAGCUGGGUAGCUACGUGCGGAAUGGAUAAACGCUGAAAGCAUAUAAGCGUGAAACUUCCCCCAAGAUAAGGUUUCCUUCGAAAGUGAAGGCUCCUGGAAGACGACCAGGUCGAUAGGUUGGGUGUGUAACGGAUGAAAGUCCCUAAGCUGACCAAUACUAACAGCCGAACGCUUGGCCAU
RNAcentral lists this ribosomal RNA (2780 nucleotides) under Tuwongella immobilis. It matches the Rfam family "Bacterial large subunit ribosomal RNA". The record is from RNAcentral. Lineage: Bacteria; Pseudomonadati; Planctomycetota; Planctomycetia; Gemmatales; Gemmataceae.